CACGUAGGGGCCGAGCGUUGUCCGGAGUUACUGGGCGUAAAGGGCGCGCAGGCGGCCGCGUGGGCCCGGCGUGAAAGCCCCCGGCUCAACCGGGGAGGGUCGUCGGGGACCGCGCGGCUUGGGAGCGGUAGGGGCCGGUGGAAUCCCCGGUGUAGUGGUGAAAUGCGUAGAGAUCGGGGGGAACACCCGUGGCGAAGGCGGCCGGCUGGGCCGACUCCGACGCUGAGGCGCGAAGGCGUGGGGAGCGAACGGG
Molecule: ribosomal RNA, 253 nt
Filed under: uncultured bacterium
Lineage: Bacteria
Description: partial 16S ribosomal RNA
Rfam family: Bacterial small subunit ribosomal RNA
Source: RNAcentral